CAGAUGAACGCUAGCUACAGGCUUACACAUGCAAGUCGAGGGGCAGCAUGGUCUUAGCUUGCUAAGGCCGAUGGCGACCGGCGCACGGGUGAGUAACACGUAUCCAACCUGCCGUCUACUCUUGGACAGCCUUCUGAAAGGAAGAUUAAUACAAGAUGGCAUCAUGAGUCCGCAUGUUCACAUGAUUAAAGGUAUUCCGGUAGACGAUGGGGAUGCGUUCCAUUAGAUAGUAGGCGGGGUAACGGCCCACCUAGUCUUCGAUGGAUAGGGGUUCUGAGAGGAAGGUCCCCCACAUUGGAACUGAGACACGGUCCAAACUCCUACGGGAGGCAGCAGUGAGGAAUAUUGGUCAAUGGGCGAGAGCCUGAACCAGCCAAGUAGCGUGAAGGAUGACUGCCCUAUGGGUUGUAAACUUCUUUUAUAAAGGAAUAAAGUCGGGUAUGGAUACCCGUUUGCAUGUACUUUAUGAAUAAGGAUCGGCUAACUCCGUGCCAGCAGCCGCGGUAAUACGGAGGAUCCGAGCGUUAUCCGGAUUUAUUGGGUUUAAAGGGAGCGUAGAUGGAUGUUUAAGUCAGUUGUGAAAGUUUGCGGCUCAACCGUAAAAUUGCAGUUGAUACUGGAUAUCUUGAGUGCAGUUGAGGCAGGCGGAAUUCGUGGUGUAGCGGUGAAAUGCUUAGAUAUCACGAAGAACUCCGAUUGCGAAGGCAGCCUGCUAAGCUGCAACUGACAUUGAGGCUCGAAAGUGUGGGUAUCAACAGGAUA
RNAcentral lists this ribosomal RNA (762 nucleotides) under Bacteroides sp. ES-05. Its description in RNAcentral is "bacterial SSU rRNA". It matches the Rfam family "Bacterial small subunit ribosomal RNA", at positions 26 to 779 of the family's 1533-position model. The record is from RNAcentral. Lineage: Bacteria; Pseudomonadati; Bacteroidota; Bacteroidia; Bacteroidales; Bacteroidaceae.